GAUGAACGCUAGCGGCAGGCCUAACACAUGCAAGUCGAGGGGUAACUAGAGUGAUAGCAAUAUUACUUUGGCUAGACCGGCGCACGGGUGCGUAACACGUAUGCAACCUACCUUAUACUGGGGAAUAACUUCGAGAAAUCGGCGCUAAUACCCCAUAACACUGCGGAGAGGCAUCUCUUUGCAGUUAAAGCUCCGGCGGUAUAAGAUGGGCAUGCGUCCAAUUAGCUAGUUGGUGAGGUAACGGCUCACCAAGGCUACGAUUGGUAGGGGUUCUGAGAGGAUGAGCCCCGACAGUGGUACUGAGACACGGACCAGAGUGCUAGGGGGGGCAGCAGUGAGGAAUAUUGCGCAAUGGACGAAAGUCUGACGCAGCCAUGCCGCGUGAAGGAUGACGGCCCUAUGGGUUGUAAACUGCUUUGGAACGGGAAUAAACCCUUCUACGUGUAGGAGGCUGAAGGUACCGUAAGAAUAAGCACCGGCUAACUCCGUGCCAGCCGCCGCCGUAA
RNAcentral lists this ribosomal RNA (506 nucleotides) under uncultured bacterium. RNAcentral's name for it is "partial 16S ribosomal RNA". It matches the Rfam family "Bacterial small subunit ribosomal RNA", at positions 28 to 523 of the family's 1533-position model. The record is from RNAcentral.